ACGGGGGAUCCGAGCGUUAUCCGGAUUUACUGGGUUUAAAGGGUGCGCAGGCGGCGGGGUCCGUCCGCGGUGAAACGCCGGGGCUCAACCCCGGCCUUGCCGAGGAAACCGCCCCGCUUGGAUACGGUCGAGGCCGGCGGAAUGCGUGGUGUAGCGGUGAAAUGCAUAGAUAUCACGUGGAAGGCCGAUUGCGGAGGCAGCUGGCCAGGCCGGUAUUGACGCUGAGGCACGAAAGCGUGGGUAGCGAACAGGAUUAGAUACCCUGGUAGUCCACGCCGUAAACGAUGAGCACUGGCUGUCGGCGACAGGCUGUCGGCGGCUGCGCGAAAGCGUUAAGUGCUCCACCUGGGGAGUACGGCCGCAAGGCUGAAACUCAAAGGAAUUGACGGGGGCCCGCACAAGCGGAGGAACAUGUGGUUUAAUUCGAUGAUACGCGAGGAACCUUACCUGGGCUCGAACGGCGGAUACGGCGCGCGAAAGGGCGCCUGCCCCUCGGGGCGUCCGCCGAGGUGUUGCAUGGUUGUCGUCAGCUCGUGCCGUGGGGUGUCGGGUUAAGUCCCAUAACGAGCGCAACCCCUGCCGCCAGUUGCCAGCGCGUGAGGGCGGG
RNAcentral lists this ribosomal RNA (607 nucleotides) under uncultured bacterium. RNAcentral's name for it is "bacterial SSU rRNA". It matches the Rfam family "Bacterial small subunit ribosomal RNA", at positions 525 to 1135 of the family's 1533-position model. The record is from RNAcentral.